GUUAGGAAUAUUGGACAAUGGGCGAAAGCCUGAUCCAGCCAUGCCGCGUGAACGAUGAAGGCCUUCGGGUUGUAAAGUUCUUUAGCCGAUGAUUAUAAUGACUGUAGUCGGAAAAUAAGCCCCGGCUAACUUCGUGCCAGCAGCCGCGGUAAUACGAAGGGGGCGAGCGUUAUUCGGAAUCACUGGGCGUAAAGCGUGCGUAGGCGGUUUUGUAAGUUAGGAGUGAAAGCCCAGGGCUCAACCUUGGAAUUGCUCUUAAAACUGCAAGGCUCGAAUCUCGGAGAGGAUAGCGGAAUUUCCAGUGUAGCAGUGAAAUGCGUAGAUAUUGGAAGGAACACCAGUGGCGUAAGCGGCUAUCUGGACGAGUAUUGACGCUGAGGCACGAAAGCGUGGGGAUCAAACAGGAUUAGAUACCCUGGUGUCC
RNAcentral lists this ribosomal RNA (424 nucleotides) under uncultured bacterium. RNAcentral's name for it is "partial 16S ribosomal RNA". It matches the Rfam family "Bacterial small subunit ribosomal RNA", at positions 354 to 796 of the family's 1533-position model. The record is from RNAcentral.